CCGGUGGCGGGGGUCGCGAGAGGCGUCAGGAUCCCUGGCGCCGCCUGAGCCAGCGGCUGCUAGGAGGCUGUGUCCGCAAGCCAGCGGGGCGAGGCACCUGGGGCCUGCGCGUCAGGUCCCGGCCUGGGGCACCGGGGCUGCCAGCGUCGGAGGAGGCCUGAGACCUGGGAGGAAGCUGGAGAAAAGAUGCCCUCUGAAUCUUUGUGUUUGGCUGCCCAGGCUCGCCUUGACACCGAAUGGUUGAAAACAGAUAUACAGAUGAUAGUGUCGAACCAAGUGAAACAAAGAAAGAAGAUCUGAAUGACAAAGAGAAAAAAGAUGAAGACGAAACUCCUGCACCUGUAUAUAGGGCCAAGUCAAUUCUGGAGACCUGGGCGUGGGGCAAGCAACCAGAAAAGAAGAGGAAGACAGAGCUCUUACUAGAGGGAGGCAGAGAUGGCACAGCAAGAGACAUGCCCCCAGAAUGGCACCACUGUCCCAGGACAGGCCCACCCAUGGGACCAGGUUAUCAGGGACCCUGUGGGGAUGGGGUGGAAUCUGGGAGGUGAGCCUUCCUCCCCAGGCUGGGAGUAGGUGAGACGAGACUGGGGCCUCUACAU
Molecule: long non-coding RNA, 599 nt
Filed under: Homo sapiens (human)
Lineage: Eukaryota; Metazoa; Chordata; Mammalia; Primates; Hominidae
Description: HSALNT0325011
Source: RNAcentral